This 76-nucleotide transfer RNA is filed under the name Chloroflexota bacterium. RNAcentral describes it as "Chloroflexi bacterium (groundwater metagenome) tRNA-Phe". It matches the Rfam family "tRNA". Rfam says of the family: Transfer RNA (tRNA) molecules are approximately 80 nucleotides in length. Their secondary structure includes four short double-helical elements and three loops (D, anti-codon, and T loops). Lineage: Bacteria; Bacillati; Chloroflexota. The record is from RNAcentral. RNAcentral also lists the same sequence under 1 other name.
GCCGAGGUAGCUCAGGUGGUAGAGCAGCGGACUGAAAAUCCGCGUGUCAGCAGUUCGACUCUGCUCCUCGGCACCA